Molecule: non-coding RNA, 566 nt
Organism: Zootermopsis nevadensis
Lineage: Eukaryota; Metazoa; Arthropoda; Insecta; Blattodea; Termopsidae
Source: RefSeq, a predicted model, not a curated record
AACCUUAACCAGUAGAAUGUCCAUGUCCCUUAGUUACCAGAAAACUUAAAUAUCAGAAGAAAAAAAAGGAUGUGAACUGUGACUGUGAAUAAAAGUGUGGCAACGCACGCCGGCACUAUCAGUGAUGACUGUAUUCCAGUGGCCACCACAGCACAGCACAGUCAGCACGUUUCAAGCACUGUGUGACCUCAGCACGUAGGAAUAGAAGAAACGUAAAGAAAACCACUGCUACAAAAUCCUCAUUGGAUUUUUCACCAUUCAGUUCAUCUUUGCACAGCUACUGCACCUGCCAUUGAUAAGUACUCACUCUUUGUUACCUUAAAUAAUAUAGUAAAAUGUAAUGGAAAGAAAGAAGUCCACAGACAAUAAAUAAUACAGCAAAUGGUUAUGUGGUGAAAACAGACCUAUUUAUUCAACACAACGCAAUAUUAUGCAACCAACCACACCAUUCUGUUUAUUACCCACACUUCAGUGCCUUCACUGGCUGGGUAAUCACUAGCCUUUGUCAGAUUAUAUGUACCAUUCUGUAUGAUCUCUGGGUAAUAAAUGCUUCAAAAUAUAAAAUG